GGUAGCGAAAUUCCUUGUCGGGUAAGUUCCGACCUGCACGAAUGGCGUAAUGAUGGCCAGGCUGUCUCCACCCGAGACUCAGUGAAAUUGAACUCGCUGUGAAGAUGCAGUGUACCCGCGGCAAGACGGAAAGACCCCGUGAACCUUUACUAUAGCUUGACACUGAACAUUGAGCCUUGAUGUGUAGGAUAGGUGGGAGGCUUUGAAGCGUGGACGCCAGUCUGCGUGGAGCCAACCUUGAAAUACCACCCUUUAAUGUUUGAUGUUCUAACGUUGGCCCCUUACCGGGGUUGCGGACAGUGUCUGGUGGGUAGUUUGACUGGGGCGGUCUCCUCCCAAAGCGUAACGGAGGAGCACGAAGGUUAGCUAAUCCUGGUCGGACAUCAGGAGGUUAGUGCAAUGGCAUAAGCUAGCUUGACUGCGAGCGUGACGGCGCGAGCAGGUGCGAAAGCAGGUCAUAGUGAUCCGGUGGUUCUGAAUGGAAGGGCCAUCGCUCAACGGAUAAAAGGUACUCCGGGGAUAACAGGCUGAUACCGCCCAAGAGUUCAUAUCGACGGCGGUGUUUGGCACCUCGAUGUCGGCUCAUCACAUCCUGGGGCUGAAGUAGGUCCCAAGGGUAUGGCUGUUCGCCAUUUAAAGUGGUACGCGAGCUGGGUUUAGAACGUCGUGAGACAGUUCGGUCCCUAUCUGCCGUGGGCGCUGGAGAAUUGAGGGGGGCUGCUCCUAGUACGAGAGGACCGGAGUGGACGCAUCACUGGUGUUCGGGUUGUCAUGCCAAUGGCACUGCCCGGUAGCUAAAUGCGGAAGAGAUAAGUGCUGAAAGCAUCUAAGCACGAAACUUGCCCCGAGAUGAGUUCUCCCUGAGACUU
This 869-nucleotide ribosomal RNA is filed under the name Klebsiella pneumoniae. Its description in RNAcentral is "partial 23S ribosomal RNA". It matches the Rfam family "Bacterial large subunit ribosomal RNA", at positions 1955 to 2823 of the family's 2925-position model. RNAcentral also lists the same sequence under 1 other name. Lineage: Bacteria; Pseudomonadati; Pseudomonadota; Gammaproteobacteria; Enterobacterales; Enterobacteriaceae. The record is from RNAcentral.